Molecule: ribosomal RNA, 443 nt
Filed under: uncultured bacterium
Lineage: Bacteria
Description: partial 16S ribosomal RNA
Rfam family: Bacterial small subunit ribosomal RNA
Source: RNAcentral
CCUACGGGUGGCAGCAGUGGGGAAUAUUGGGCAAUGGGCGCAAGCCUGACCCAGCAACGCCGCGUGAAGGAAGAAGGCUUUCGGGUUGUAAACUUCUUUUCUCAGGGACGAAGCAAGUGACGGUACCUGAGGAAUAAGCCACGGCUAACUACGUGCCAGCAGCCGCGGUAAUACGUAGGUGGCAAGCGUUAUCCGGAUUUACUGGGUGUAAAGGGCGUGUAGGCGGGACUGCAAGUCAGAUGUGAAAACCAUGGGCUCAACCUAUAGCCUGCAUUUGAAACUGUAGUUCUUGAGUACUGGUGAGGCAGACGGAAUUCCUAGUGUAGCGGUGAAAUGCGUAGAUAUUAGGAGGAACACCAGUGGCGAAGGCAGUCUGCUAGACAGCAACUGACGCUGAGGCGCGAAAGCGUGGGGAGCAAACAGGAUUAGAUACCCCAGUAGUC